RNAcentral lists this transfer RNA (73 nucleotides) under Bos taurus (domestic cattle). It matches the Rfam family "tRNA". From Rfam's summary of the family: Transfer RNA (tRNA) molecules are approximately 80 nucleotides in length. Their secondary structure includes four short double-helical elements and three loops (D, anti-codon, and T loops). Lineage: Eukaryota; Metazoa; Chordata; Mammalia; Artiodactyla; Bovidae. The record is from Rfam by way of RNAcentral. RNAcentral also lists the same sequence under 3 other names.
UCCCUGGUGGCCCAGUGGCUACGACUCUGCACUUUUAGUGCAGGGGGCCUGGGUUCAAUUCCUGGUCAGAGAA